Aspergillus lentulus is the source of this 72-nucleotide non-coding RNA. NCBI's taxonomy places the organism in Eukaryota, Fungi, Ascomycota, Eurotiomycetes, Eurotiales, Aspergillaceae. The record is from the annotation of a RefSeq genome assembly.
GACACUUUGGCCGAGUGGUUAAGGCGCAGGCCUGCUAAGUCCCCCUACAGGGUUCGAAUCCCAGAGGUGUCG